AUGGAUGAUGGGAUCAGUGGCGUUCAAGAAUCAAGUGACAUGUCUAUUUCGAGCGAUGGCGACGGCAUUAAGCAACGAAAGGAAAGCAAUGUGGAGCUUGCACAUGGCCUUGCUGAAGCUCAAUCAUAUGGAUCACUUGGAGAACCUGAAGUGGGGAUGACCUUUGAUACCGAGAAUGAGGUGAGAGAGUACUACAACACAUAUGCUAAAGCAAAAGGCUUCGGUGUGACGAGAAGGAGUUCACACAGAGAUGAUAAUGGACAACUGAAGUACCUUACGUUUUCCUGCUCUCGCUAUGGUAAGGCUCAGUCCAACUCAGGAAAUAUGUUGAAGCCAAGUCGAACAGCCGGGACAGGAUGUAAAGCUAAAAUCAAUAUUACCCGUGCUCCUGAUGGGAGGUUUCAUCUUUCGACGGUCAUUUUGGAUCAUAAUCAUACAUUAAGUCCACCUAAACCUCGGCGGUUCAGAUGCAACAAAAAGUUAGACUUCUGUGUCAAGCGAAGUCUUGAACUGAAUGACCCGGCUGAAAUACGAGUAAGCAAGAGUUCAGCCAUACCUCGUGUCACACACUUUGACAUCGAGAAGCAAUUUCAAUCAGCUUAUACAAAUUUGAAGUUCAAAGAAUUUCAAGAAGAGCUAACACAAACUAUGUACUGUGAUCGGAAGUUGAUGCAAAAGGAGGGGGCGAUAGAAAUGUAUGAAAUCACCGAGGAUGUGCUGAUUGACGAAGAUAAAGGAUGGAGAAAAGAUAUUGUGCACCAUGUAUACUUCAGUGAGGAAGAGUUUGAAGUUAAGUGUUCAUGUCGCCGCUUUGAGUUCACUGGUAUUCUCUGUAGGCAUGUGUUAUGUGUGCUCACUCACAAGAAAAUCAAGGAGGUUCCUCCACAAUACGUCUUUGAUUGGUGGAAAAAAAAUGUGAACAGAAAGCACAACUUUAUCAGAUGCACAUAUGGCGGCAUGGAAGACACUCUUGCUGCAGAACGUUUUGAUAGAUUGUGCAAUUCUUUCUACCCAGUUGCAGAGAUAGGCGCCAUGUCAGAUGAUUCAUGCAAUGCUUUGAUGGAAGAGCUUCACACCCUGAAAAUUCGAUUCUCUAGCAACUCAAGUUCUGAAAAUGGUAAGGAACAUGUUGCUACACGGGAAGAUGCACCUUUGAAUGGAAAGACAACAAGUAAAACUACACCAAGUCCAAUAGCUGUCAGGUGUGCUCGAUGUCCUCCUUCACCGAGAAAACAAUCUAUGCUUGAUAAGCUUAUUUGUCAAGCAAACGAAAAGAAGAAGGAAGCUGAACAAAAGGCUUCCUCCACAAAUUUGAACAAGAAAAGGCCCCGUAAAAAUAGAAAAUCAUCAGUGGAUGAUAUUCUAGAACAACAUAUUAUGGAACAUUCGAGUCAGCAACCUGUUUGUUUGGAUGGCCCAGCUAGUAGCAUCACAUCUCAGAGAACAUUUGACUUGGCUAUUACCACUAGCAACAUAAAUCCAUCUGUGACAGCUACAAUACCAUCUGGAGGUUCAUCGACAAUGGUUAUGCCUCAAAUUCUUGGAGAAUACACACUUAUGCCAUUUCAAGUUCAACAAGGAUCGGCUAUAGUGUCCAGCUCUGCAGAACUACACUUUGAUGGAAUUGGAGGGCUCAACAAUACGGUGGACCGGAGUUAG
RNAcentral lists this ribosomal RNA (1659 nucleotides) under Triticum aestivum (bread wheat). RNAcentral's name for it is "partial small subunit ribosomal RNA". The record is from RNAcentral. Lineage: Eukaryota; Viridiplantae; Streptophyta; Magnoliopsida; Poales; Poaceae.